Molecule: non-coding RNA, 113 nt
Organism: Acanthosepion pharaonis
Lineage: Eukaryota; Metazoa; Mollusca; Cephalopoda; Sepiida; Sepiidae
Source: the annotation of a GenBank genome assembly
UUACGGCCAUAUCGCGUUGAAACGUCGGUUCUCGUACGAUCAUCGAAGUUAAGCAACAUCGAGUCUGGGCAGUACCUAGAUAGGUCACCGCUUGGAAAUACCAGGUGCUGUAA